This 515-nucleotide long non-coding RNA is filed under the name Drosophila guanche. The record is from RNAcentral. Lineage: Eukaryota; Metazoa; Arthropoda; Insecta; Diptera; Drosophilidae.
GUCAAAUAGUCGCUGGCUAAUGAUAAUAAACGAACGGAACACCACCGCACCUCACCGCACCGCAACAGUAACAAAAGCCAAGGAACAAAAUCUAGACAUUUUAUUGCAGCCUUUUGUCGAAGGCGACGACUGCUUCUUCCGCACGUAGUCAGAGUCAGUCGGAGAUUUCCAGAUCAAGUUCAAGUUUCAAGCAUAGAAGAGAGAUGCGAUGCUGCCACAGAGAACUAGACUAGAAGCAUUGAACGGAAACAGAAACUAAAACCAAAACAUGGUUUGCUUUGACCCAUUGAACUGCUUUGAUAACCUACCCAACGCCCCCCAUUGAGCAGGUUUGAAUUGAAUAUUGAAAAUGCAUUAAUAAUGUCGGGACGGCGCGAACGCCAUUCCCGGCUACCAAAAAUUACACGCACGAGUUAUUCACAUUAGGAAUAAUCGCAGAGGUCAACUCAGCCGAAGUGCAAUGGCCAAGCCUCACUCCGGAGGAACCGCCUUCGUGAUCACGGUUAACCUCUACG